This is a non-coding RNA of Chrysemys picta bellii (western painted turtle), 3517 nucleotides long. Lineage: Eukaryota; Metazoa; Chordata; Testudines; Emydidae. The record is from RefSeq and is a predicted model, not a curated record.
GAGAUUUACCUAAUUUGUGAAUAAAAACCAAAAACAAAUCACUGGUACGAUGUUCAUAGGAAUGAAUAUAAAGUAUUGUGAAUGCCACUAAAGUGAAUUUACAGGCUUUAUUAGAACAAAUAUUUGGAAACAUAUUGUUUGCCAUAUUUGUUGAGCUUUAAUUAAUAUUCAUAGGUACUUGUUCUACAAUUAGCUUUCAUUGGGACCACACCUGUUCCACUUGCAGUCAGUGGAAAAUGCUCCACUUGACUUCAUUUGGGGGUAGGACUGAGCCUUUUAUUCAUAAAUUUUUCUUUCACUGAAGUGAUUUUCUAUGCUGCAUUACAGGCCAAACAGGCUUUAACUUUCACUGUGGUUGUGCUUGGUGAAACACAGCUAUCAGGUCAGUUCCAUUCCCCGCUACCCAUUGUGCAAUGGGAAGAAUGUACUUCACUCAGUUCUCUAGGAAGGUCAGUGGGCCAGAUCCUCAGCAGUGUAAACCAGUGUAGCUUCAGAGUCUAGCUCACUAAUGCAAAUGAAUGUUUUGUCUGUUUUGAAGUUACCCCCCCCACCACCACCACACUCUUUGAAUGCCUUGAUAUUGACCUUCUCUAAUUUUUCUUUUUUAUAGAAUAUUUAUGGCCUUUAUAUUUAUGUAGAUAAAUAAGGUGCAGAUCUUGCCCUCAGUUUAAUCCAUGCAGCCCCAUUGUCCUCUCCAUUUGUCACUUAAUCUUGUUCCUGUUUGUCACAAACUGCUUCUGAUUAGUUCCAAUACAAUUUGAUUAGUUCUUCUGUGGUACAAAAACUCCUGAAAACCUGCAGAAGUCAAGGUAGUUAAAAAUAAUGAGAGGUUGUUGAUUGUUUUUUCCUUAACAAGUGUCACUUGAGCAUGUCCUGUAUAUUCACCAACAUUUCUUAAACAUCAUUUCCAUUAGUAUAUUUCACGAGCCCACAUAGCCUUCCUACUCUUCAUUUACUAGUGUGUAUGGGGGUGUAUGGAACAAUAUUGCUGAUUGCCAUGGCAGCAUGGUGCAUAUCUGCAGCUAUCAUUAAUUCUUAAUGGAAGGGUUCAGGCCGCAAGGAACCCAUAAGUAAAGGAAGCCAAUUUAAUCUUUAAUGGAAAUUGGUUUUAAAAAUAGACAUUGCAAAAAGAGACAAAUGAUAACUAGUGUUACACUUGUGAAUCUCAUGAAUGGCUAGAACAUCUUAGAAGUUCAGAUUUUCUCACUGGCCAUUUUAACCCUUUGUGACUUAUUUCACAAUAAUUUUUAUGCAUAUCUUCUCCUGUCAGAUGAAUGUGCUGAAUUCUGGAAUCAGUAGUCCUUCAUGUAGUAAGGUAUUAAGACAGUAAAAUGUAGGUGGUUCUUUAUGAAUGUGAUGUGCUACUGGGUUUAUUUUAGAGGGAAAGACCAAAACAUUUCUGAAUGCAUUGUAAAAAAUGGAGAGACUUUUAGCAAGGACAGUUGAAUAGUUUGUCUUCAGAGACCCCAUAUGGCUAACAGUGCCUCGCCUACAAUUAUUUACCCUGGCAAUCUUUCUCGUGAUUCAUUUUCUAUGCUUGUUUAGUCUAAAGCUUCCCCUGGGUAGAGACUGCCUGCUGUACCCGAUUUAUAGAUGGUGGCUAUCAUGGUUAUCAUUUAAGAAUUAAUUGUUUGUAACAGACACAUUCUCAAGAAAGAAUAGGGAUGAGUAGUACUUAAGCCCUAUUCAGUGUUCAACUCCUGAGCAUGACAAAUUUAGGCUGAUUUCUUUUUUUAAAAAAGCAAGGUGGAGACAAGUGAAUUUCCAUAAUGUCUGUAGAAUUAAACCUUUUCUCCAUUUUUGACUGCUCACAGAGGCAAUGGCUUCAAGGCUUUCAAGAUCUGCAUAGUAAUUCCUUACUUUUUUAGUCCUUGGACUCAGUUCUCCACUCUGUUACACUGGUUUAAAACCAGUAUUAUUCUACCAGUGCUCAGGGUAACACUGGUGCAAAACUAGCAUAAUGGAGCAGAAAAUCAGGUCCUUUUUGUUUUUAUAUCACAAAACAAUAUUUCAUUUCAAUCCAUCAUACAAUGUUACAAGAAAAAAACCUAGUAGUUUCCUUUAAAGAUGACUAAGCUGUACUACCUUAGGGCCUGAUCCUGCAAAUGCUUACACGUGUGAGUUGUUUUGCUCAUGGGAGAAGUCCCAUUGAACUACUCAGGUAGUCAUGUAUAAGUGUUUGCAGAACUAUCCCCAACCCAGCACAGCCAAUGGGACUUACGCCCCUUCUUAAAGUGAAGGGCAUGUUUGAGUGCUUUGCUGAAUAAGAAAGGAUUGCCGAGCCAGGGCCUAAAAGGAUGUUUAAUAAAACCAAAAAUGUAAUAAAGGAAAUCUGCCAUAGUUUCAGCAUCUCUAUAACUAAAGAAGGAUCUCCCAGGCCGAGAUGCUACUUCCACAGAAAGUCCCGAUUAAUGAUGUCGGACAGCCUGGGACACGAACUGCAGCUCAGCAUUUGGAUGCCCCGGAAAGGCUUGGAAAGUUAUUGUUGGGUACAGCUGAUUAUUAUUUUAAGGCAGGGUGUAGUUGGUCCCAGGCAUGUGUAGGAUCUGAAGGAAGGAUUGCGGAGGCCACCUAAUGAUGGGAAACGGAAGUUGUAGAAGGUCAAAGUUUCAGGCCCUUUUGGAAACAUACUACUAGUCUGAGCACAUGGAGCACCCUGCGUGUAUAAAAAAGGAGAGGGCAGUCAUACAUGUGCAUUAAGGCAGCUUUUUCUGCUAACCUUCAGGGUCAGCAUUUGUAAAGAAAUCAUGUAAAGAGUGCUUAUGUUACCAAAAAAUCAUAACUCUGACUAUACGACGUGGAUUCUUACAACAGCUUUAAGAGUCUCCUGCUUUUCUGAUGUAUUGAGACACCUAGCGUCAUUUCCUGUGGCUCAGACUUUGCCAUCAAACUACAUUUAAUUGUUCUUUUAAAUGACUUCAAAAAGCUUAAAAAAAAGUGUGUGUGAGAGAUAUACUCUUCUCUUCUUAGUAAUGCGAUAGAGACUACUGAUUAAAAUAUCUAUUCUAUUACUCUGAAGCUUUGCUUUGAGGAAAUUGACUCCACCUAAGUGUACUAGAUGAAACUGAAUGCCAUAGUAAUGCUUAAUAACAUGUAUAUAUUUUGCUAGACUAACGUGAGUUGGGAUGGAGAUAAACUUCUUUGCGUACAGAAAGGAGAAAAAGAAGGCCGUGGUUGGACCCAGUGGAUUGAAGGAGAUGAAAUGCAUCUGGAGAUAAGAGUAGGCGGUGUCAAAUGUAAACAAGUCUUUAAGAAGGUACAGUGAACCUAAUCUGCCCAUUGCUGAUACGGAGAUGAAGACGAACAGAAUAGAAUGUAUGGACUUGCUACCAAAGCGCCACAUGCUCUUAGUGCCCAAGUAUAUCCUUAACAUCUAGCGAGCAGAACCCUGUGAACAUCUGUGCACAGGAAAUUAGAACUGUGUAGUGCUGUCUUUGCAAAAAGGAUUUUUUUUUAAAGAAAUCAUUCUAAAUAAACAAUCAUUUUUAAAAAUGCCAAUUAAAGAUACUGAAAAUCA